AGGACGAACGCUGGCGGCGUGCUUCAUACAUGCAAGUCGAACGAUAAGGUCCUUCGGGAAUACAUAAGUGGCAGACGGGUGAGUAAUAUGUAGAGAAUCUGCCUUCAAGCGGGGGACAACAGAGGGAAACUUCUGCUAAUACCCCAUAUGAGCGUACCUGUGAUGGUAUUCUUGAAAGCUCCGGCGCUUGGAGAUGAGUCUGCAUCUGAUUAGCUAGUUGGGGGUGUAAUGGACCACCAAGGCGACGAUCAGUAGCUGGUUUGAGAGGAUGAUCAGCCACAAUGGGACUGAGACACGGCCCAUACUCCUACGGGAGGCAGCAGUAGGGAAUUUUGCGCAAUGGGCGAAAGCCUGACGCAGCCAACGCCGCGUGAUCGCAGACGGCCUUCGGGUUGUAAAGAUCUGUCAGUAGGGACGAACAAUGACUGUACCUACAGAGGAAGCACCGGCUAACUCCGUGCCAGCAGCCGC
RNAcentral lists this ribosomal RNA (471 nucleotides) under uncultured bacterium. RNAcentral describes it as "bacterial SSU rRNA". It matches the Rfam family "Bacterial small subunit ribosomal RNA", at positions 26 to 518 of the family's 1533-position model. The record is from RNAcentral.